RNAcentral lists this ribosomal RNA (501 nucleotides) under uncultured bacterium. RNAcentral describes it as "partial 16S ribosomal RNA". It matches the Rfam family "Bacterial small subunit ribosomal RNA", at positions 28 to 523 of the family's 1533-position model. The record is from RNAcentral.
GAUGAACGCUGGCGGCGUGCCUAAUACAUGCAAGUCGAGCGAACCUCUUCGGAGGUUAGCGGCGGACGGGUGAGUAACACGUGGGCAACCUACCUUGUAGAUGGGGAUAACAUCGAGAAAUCGGUGCUAAUACCGAAUAACACUUUUCUCCACAUGGAGAAGAGUUAAAAGUUGGCUUUUGCUAACACUACAAGAUGGGCCCGCGGCGCAUUAGCUAGUUGGUGAGGUAACGGCUCACCAAGGCGACGAUGCGUAGCCGACCUGAGAGGGUGAUCGGCCACACUGGGUCUGAGACACGGCCCAGACUCCUACGGGAGGCAGCAGUAGGGAAUCUUCCGCAAUGGACGAAAGUCUGACGGAGCAACGCCGCGUGAGUGAUGAAGGCCUUCGGGUCGUAAAACUCUGUUGUUAGGGAAGAACAAGUACCGUUCGAAUAGGGCGGUACCGUGACGGUACCUAACCAGAAAGCCACGGCUAACUACGUGCCAGCCGCCGCUGUAA